This 289-nucleotide ribosomal RNA is filed under the name Klebsiella pneumoniae. Its description in RNAcentral is "partial 23S ribosomal RNA". It matches the Rfam family "Bacterial large subunit ribosomal RNA", at positions 728 to 1014 of the family's 2925-position model. The record is from RNAcentral. Lineage: Bacteria; Pseudomonadati; Pseudomonadota; Gammaproteobacteria; Enterobacterales; Enterobacteriaceae.
AUCUAGCCAUGGGCAGGUUGAAGGUUGGGUAACACUAACUGGAGGACCGAACCGACUAAUGUUGAAAAAUUAGCGGAUGACUUGUGGCUGGGGGUGAAAGGCCAAUCAAACCGGGAGAUAGCUGGUUCUCCCCGAAAGCUAUUUUGGUAGCGCCUCGUGAAUUCAUCUUCGGGGGUAGAGCACUGUUUCGGCUAGGGGGUCAUCCCGACUUACCAACCCGAUGCAAACUACGAAUACCGAAGAAUGUUAUCACGGGAGACACACGGCGGGUGCUAACGUCCGUCGUGAA